UACGUAGGGUGCGAGCGUUGUCCGGAAUUAUUGGGCGUAAAGGGCGCGUAGGCGGCCUUGCAAGUCAAAGGUGAAAUCCCUCGGCUCAACUGAGGAACUGCCUUUGAAACUGCAUGGCUUGAGGCCGGGAGGGGGUAGCGGAAUUCCCAGUGUAGCGGUGAAAUGCGUAGAUAUUGGGAGGAACACCAGUGGCGAAGGCGGCUACCUGGACCGGUUCUGACGCUGAUGCGCGAAAGCGUGGGUAGCAAACAGG
This 253-nucleotide ribosomal RNA is filed under the name uncultured bacterium. RNAcentral's name for it is "partial 16S ribosomal RNA". It matches the Rfam family "Bacterial small subunit ribosomal RNA", at positions 524 to 776 of the family's 1533-position model. The record is from RNAcentral.